RNAcentral lists this ribosomal RNA (253 nucleotides) under uncultured bacterium. Its description in RNAcentral is "partial 16S ribosomal RNA". It matches the Rfam family "Bacterial small subunit ribosomal RNA", at positions 524 to 776 of the family's 1533-position model. The record is from RNAcentral.
UACGUAGGGGGCAAGCGUUGUCCGGAUUUACUGGGCGUAAAGGGCGUGCAGGCGGUCUGUUAAGUCUAGGGUGAAAGCUCCCGGCUCAACUGGGAGAGGUCCUUGGAUACUGGCGGACUUGAGGGAGGCAGAGGAGUAUGGAAUUCCCGGUGUAGUGGUGAUAUGCGUAGAUAUCGGGAGGAACACCAGUGGCGAAGGCGGUACUCUGGGCCUUACCUGACGCUGAGACGCGAAAGCGUGGGGAGCGAACAGG